AGGACGAACGCUGGCGGCGUGCUUAACACAUGCAAGUCGAACGGAAAGGCCCUGCUUUUGUGGGGUGCUCGAGUGGCGAACGGGUGAGUAACACGUGAGUAACCUGCCCUUGACUUUGGGAUAACUUCAGGAAACUGGGGCUAAUACCGGAUAGGAGCUCCUGCUGCAUGGUGGGGGUUGGAAAGUUUCGGCGGUUGGGGAUGGACUCGCGGCUUAUCAGCUUGUUGGUGGGGUAGUGGCUUACCAAGGCUUUGACGGGUAGCCGGCCUGAGAGGGUGACCGGCCACAUUGGGACUGAGAUACGGCCCAGACUCUACGGGAGGCAGCAGUGGGAAUAUUGCACAAUGGGCGGAAGCCUGAUGCAGC
Molecule: ribosomal RNA, 366 nt
Filed under: uncultured soil bacterium
Lineage: Bacteria
Description: bacterial SSU rRNA
Rfam family: Bacterial small subunit ribosomal RNA
Source: RNAcentral